GGGUCUUCCUGGGCUACCCUCGUCUGCUGGCUUAAGCCAUUUCUGUGUGUUAAUGAUACUUGGUAAUCCUUCACUUUGCAGCAUACGACUAAGUAGUGAUAUAUCUUUAUUAACAGUGGAAUCCAUUCUAUUUAUUUGGAAUGUAGGCUUUCAGAUAGCAUUUUAAAUAUUAAUGACUGGUCUCUGGUAGUCAGCAUAAAUAUGAUUUGCAUUAGCACCAGGUUGUAUCAUCUUGAGUGCUCUGAUGUCAACUGUUGGGUAUAGUAAUAUCUGACAUCAUCUCCUCAGGUCACUGACAACUUUGACCUCUAUUCUUAUGCACAGUUUCUGUCGUCUCAAAAGCUCUUUUGAAUUGAUUUGAAAUUUUGACUCUUCCCUUUAUGAGGCAGUAAAAUUGAUAAUUAUUCAGAUGGGAACUGAGUGCUGAGUGAAAAAUCAAUUCCACCCGCUCUCUGCUGCGUAUAAAAUUACUUGUGAGUCGGCUGGACUGAACGGAUGGCCAGAGUAAAAGCAGCAGGCAGGGGCAGUGGGAAGAAUUAGCUGGACAGAGCGCAUAGCCUGAGGGAUGGACCUGGAAAAGAGGGAGUGAGCCAGUUGGGGGUUAUUAUGAGCAGGAUGGGUCCCAUUGAUCAUCUGUUUACAUCAGCUUUCCAAAACCUUAUAAAUCAGCCCUGAAGAGCAGCGGGGCCCAAGAUUCGGCCUCUUACCGGAGGGACUUUGUAUUAGAUUAUUCUCAUUCUCACACUCAGAUGAAAAGUGAGCCAUUGAUUAUUCAUCGGUUGCCCAUUAAAAGCUGUUUUUAUAGAUGAUUUGCCUAUCACAGAAGGUAAUGAACAAGGUUGUUGCUUCAUAUCUUGAGGUUUCAGUUUUCAAGGCAUCUGUGUGGUUAAGUAAUGCCUAACCCUAUUAAAAGGAAUGGGUUACAAAUUGCUUAACAGUGGUGAAAAACUAGACCCUAAUGACUAAUUGUGCUUGGAGUUUAGAGGGGGUUUGUCAGCUCUUUAAACUAAACUGAUGUAAUGAUACUGCAAUUAUUUACUACUUUGAACUGCUUUCCUCCAACCUGGACCUGUUUUGCUGGAAGCGGAACUGCAAGAAGAGUGUCAGUUCCAAACUGCAGAAGGUACAGCUCCUCUGACCUGCCGCGACAUACAGGGGCCUGCUGAGGGUUCCAGCAUCCUCACGGGC
This 1188-nucleotide long non-coding RNA is filed under the name Marmota monax (woodchuck). Lineage: Eukaryota; Metazoa; Chordata; Mammalia; Rodentia; Sciuridae. The record is from RNAcentral.